Molecule: ribosomal RNA, 396 nt
Filed under: uncultured bacterium
Lineage: Bacteria
Description: partial 16S ribosomal RNA
Rfam family: Bacterial small subunit ribosomal RNA
Source: RNAcentral
AUACGUAGGGAGCGAGCGUUGUCCGGAAUUACUGGGUGUAAAGGGAGCGUAGGCGGGAUGGCAAGUCAGAUGUGAAAACUAUGGGCUCAACCCAUAGACUGCAUUUGAAACUGUUGUUCUUGAGUGAAGUAGAGGUAAGCGGAAUUCCUGGUGUAGCGGUGAAAUGCGUAGAUAUCAGGAGGAACACCGGUGGCGAAGGCGGCUUACUGGGCUUUUACUGACGCUGAGGCUCGAAAGCGUGGGGAGCAAACAGGAUUAGAUACCCUGGUAGUCCACGCUGUAAACGAUGAUUACUAGGUGUGGGGGGACUGACCCCUUCCGUGCCGCAGUUAACACAAUAAGUAAUCCACCUGGGGAGUACGGCCGCAAGGUUGAAACUUAAAGGAAUUGGCGGGG